CCCUUCGGGGUGAAGCCGGUGGAAUGAGCGGCGGACGGGUGAGUAACACGUGGGCAACCUACCUUGUAGACUGGGAUAACUCCGGGAAACCGGGGCUAAUACCGGAUGAUCAUUUGGAUCGCAUGAUCCGAAUGUAAAAGUGGGGAUUUAUCCUCACACUGCAAGAUGGGCCCGCGGCGCAUUAGCUAGUUGGUAAGGUAAUGGCUUACCAAGGCGACGAUGCGUAGCCGACCUGAGAGGGUGAUCGGCCACACUGGAACUGAGACACGGUCCAGACUCCUACGGGAGGCAGCAGUAGGGAAUCAUCCGCAAUGGGCGAAAGCCUGACGGUGCAACGCCGCGUGAACGAUGAAGGUUUUCGGAUCGUAAAGUUCUGUUAUGAGGGAAGAACAAGUGCCGUUCGAAUAGGUCGGCACCUUGACGGUACCUCACGAGAAAGCCCCGGCUAACUACGUGCCAGCAGCCGCGGUAAUACGUAGGGGGCAAGCGUUGUCCGGAAUUAUUGGGCGUAAAGCGCGCGCAGGCGGUCUCUUAAGUCUGAUGUGAAAGCCCACGGCUCAACCGUGGAGGGUCAUUGGAAACUGGGGGACUUGAGUGUAGGAGAGGAAAGUGGAAUUCCACGUGUAGCGGUGAAAUGCGUAGAUAUGUGGAGGAACACCAGUGGCGAAGGCGACUUUCUGGCCUACAACUGACGCUGAGGCGCGAAAGCGUGGGGAGCAAACAGGAUUAGAUACCCUGGUAGUCCACGCCGUAAACGAUGAGUGCUAGGUGUUAGGGGUUUCGAUACCCUUAGUGCCGAAGUUAACACAUUAAGCACUCCGCCUGGGGAGUACGGCCGCAAGGCUGAAACUCAAAGGAAUUGACGGGGGCCCGCACAAGCAGUGGAGCAUGUGGUUUAAUUCGAAGCAACGCG
Molecule: ribosomal RNA, 913 nt
Filed under: Salipaludibacillus agaradhaerens
Lineage: Bacteria; Bacillati; Bacillota; Bacilli; Caryophanales; Bacillaceae
Description: bacterial SSU rRNA
Rfam family: Bacterial small subunit ribosomal RNA
Source: RNAcentral